Molecule: long non-coding RNA, 605 nt
Organism: Labrus mixtus (cuckoo wrasse)
Lineage: Eukaryota; Metazoa; Chordata; Actinopteri; Labriformes; Labridae
Exons: 5
Source: RefSeq, a predicted model, not a curated record
GGGUUAACGGGGAUCAUUUUGAGCGACCUCAGGUUCCACACCUCCUAUGUUUAGUUUCCCCAUGCAAACAUUUUGACAUGUGGUGCUUUUAUUUUGAAGGUAGAAAAACUGAUGUGUGGUGCUUUUAUUUUGAAGGUGGACUAACUGACAUGUGCUUUUAUUUUGAAGGUGGACAAACUGACAUGUGGUGCUUUUGUUUUGAAGGUGGACAAACUGACAUGUGGUGCUUUUAUUUUGAAGGUGGACUAACUGACAUGUGCUUUUAUUUUGAAGGUGCACAAACUGAGGUGUGGUGAAUUUAUUUUGAAGGUGCACAAACUGAGGUGUGGUGCUUUUGUUUUGAAGGUGGACUAACUGACAUGUGCUUUUAUUUUGAAGGUGGACAAACUGACGUUUGGUGCUUUUAUUUUGAAGGUGCACAAACUGAGGUGUGGUGCUUUUAUUUUGAAGGUGGACAAACUGACAUGUGUGCUGCUUUUAUUUUGAAGGUGCACAAACUGACGUGUGGUGUUUUUAUUUUGAAGGUAAAACACUAGAAGACAAACAUCUAAACCUGGAGAAAGACACAACUAUUAUCCCCGACCUGUGAAGAUGAGCCGGUCAGA